GGUGCCUUCGGGGGACAGGGCCAGGCUGCGGUUUGCAGGGAGGGAGCGUAGGACCCGCAGCUCUGCGCCCGUCACCUCCUCUGCCUCGGGCAGGCUGGAGAUGUCAAAGAGCAAAUCUGCAGUUCCAGCGGGGCCGGAUAACGGGAUCCCUUCGCAGAGCUCACCCCGCAGCAUCUCCCCCCGCCCCGGCCCGGCUGCUCCCCCGCUGAACCUCAGUGCCGCUGCCGGGCAGAGUACAGAGGCUGCGGGAAUCCGGGCACAGAGGGAGCCGGGAGCAGCCGUUCCCUUCGGCUUCCCAUUGUAUUCCAUCUGGGGAUGGCAAGAGGGUCUGAUUUAAUUAUUUUUUUCACCCCGCGAAAAGUUUUGUCGGGACGACACAGUGCGUGUAAGCGCACAUGGGAGAAAAAAAGAAAAAAUAGAUCGA
Molecule: long non-coding RNA, 424 nt
Organism: Tympanuchus pallidicinctus (lesser prairie-chicken)
Lineage: Eukaryota; Metazoa; Chordata; Aves; Galliformes; Phasianidae
Exons: 2
Source: RefSeq, a predicted model, not a curated record